RNAcentral lists this small nuclear RNA (321 nucleotides) under Notamacropus eugenii (tammar wallaby). Its description in RNAcentral is "7SK RNA (ENSMEUG00000016806.1)". It matches the Rfam family "7SK RNA". From Rfam's summary of the family: 7SK was discovered as an abundant small nuclear RNA in the mid-70s but a possible function has only recently been suggested. Two independent studies have found that 7SK RNA binds the CDK9/cyclin T complex (known as elongation factor P-TEFb). P-TEFb activates transcription by phosphorylating the C-terminal domain of RNA polymerase II. The record is from RNAcentral. Lineage: Eukaryota; Metazoa; Chordata; Mammalia; Diprotodontia; Macropodidae.
GGAUGUGAGGCCAUAUGGCUGUAACAUCUAUCACCCCACUGAUCUCCAAGAUUGUUGCAGCUAAUAUGUCUGGAUAAGUGUAUGUCCCCUUCCUCCCUCACUGCUCCAUGUGGGUCCCUUUCAAAGUUGUGUGCUCAGUUGAAAAGGACAACUUUCCCCAAAGAGGCUUACCAUUCGUCUGUCAAGGGUAUACAAGUAGCUGUGCUCCCCUGUUAGAACAAGCUCCCAAGGUCCAUUUGUAGGAGAACAUAGGGUAGUCAAGCUUCCAAGAUUCUAGACACAUCCAAAUGAGGUGCUGCAUGUGGAAAUUUGUCUUUUUUU